RNAcentral lists this ribosomal RNA (440 nucleotides) under uncultured bacterium. Its description in RNAcentral is "partial 16S ribosomal RNA". It matches the Rfam family "Bacterial small subunit ribosomal RNA", at positions 338 to 795 of the family's 1533-position model. The record is from RNAcentral.
CCUACGGGUGGCUGCAGUAGGGAAUAUUGCUCAAUGGGGGAAACCCUGAAGCAGCAACGCCGCGUGGAGGAUGAAGGUUUUCUGAUUGUAAACUCCUUUUGUUAGAGAAGAUUAUGACGGUAUCUAACGAAUCAGCACCGGCUAACUCCGUGCCAGCAGCCGCGGUAAUACGGAGGGUGCAAGCGUUACUCGGAAUCACUGGGCGUAAAGAGUGCGUAGGCGGGAUAGUAAGUCAGAUGUGAAAUCCUGUGGCUUAACUAUAGAACUGCAUUUGAAACUUUUACUCUAGAGUAUGGGAGAGGUAGGUGGAAUUCUUGGUGUAGGGGUAAAAUCCGUAGAGAUCAAGAGGAAUACUCAUUGAGAAGGCGACCUGCUGGAACAUAACUGACGCUGAUGCGCGAAAGCGUGGGGAGCAAACAGGAUUAGAUACCCGAGUAGUC